GCCCUGGUAGCAAAAUGGUUAAGCACUCAGCUGCUAACUGAAAGGUUGGUGAUUCAAACUCACCUAAUGGCU
This 72-nucleotide transfer RNA is filed under the name Loxodonta africana (African savanna elephant). It matches the Rfam family "tRNA". Rfam says of the family: Transfer RNA (tRNA) molecules are approximately 80 nucleotides in length. Their secondary structure includes four short double-helical elements and three loops (D, anti-codon, and T loops). Further hydrogen bonds mediate the characteristic L-shaped molecular structure. tRNAs have two regions of fundamental functional importance: the anti-codon, which is responsible for specific mRNA codon recognition, and the 3' end, to which the tRNAs corresponding amino acid is attached (by aminoacyl-tRNA synthetases). tRNAs cope with the degeneracy of the genetic code in two manners: having more than one tRNA (with a specific anti-codon) for a particular amino acid; and 'wobble' base-pairing, i.e. permitting non-standard base-pairing at the 3rd anti-codon position. Lineage: Eukaryota; Metazoa; Chordata; Mammalia; Proboscidea; Elephantidae. The record is from Rfam by way of RNAcentral.